This 253-nucleotide ribosomal RNA is filed under the name uncultured bacterium. Its description in RNAcentral is "partial 16S ribosomal RNA". It matches the Rfam family "Bacterial small subunit ribosomal RNA", at positions 524 to 776 of the family's 1533-position model. The record is from RNAcentral.
UACAGGGGGUGCAAACGUUGCUCGGAAUUAUUGGGCGUAAAGCGCGCGUAGGCGGCCACUUAAGUCGGAUGUGAAAGCCCCUGGCUCAACUGGGGAAGUGCACCCGAAACUGAGCGGCUUGAAUGCAAAAGAGGGUCGCGGAAUUCCCGGUGUAGAGGUGAAAUUCGUAGAUAUCGGGAGGAACACCGGUGGCGAAGGCGGCGACCUGGGCCGGAACUGACGCUGAGGAGCGAAAGCGUGGGGAGCAAACAGG